GACCGCGUAUGUAAGUACGUUUCUACCUCGGGUGACAGGGUGACAGGUGGUGCAUGGUUGUCGUCAGCUCGUGUCGUGAGAUGUUGGGUUAAGUCCGCAACGAGCGCAACCCUAUUGUUAGUUGCCACUCAUUCAGUUGGGCACUCUAGCGAGACUGCCGGUAAUAAACCGGAGGAAGGUGGGGAUGACGUCAAAUCAUCAUGCCCUUAUGACCUGGGCUACACACGUGCUACAAUGGUUGGUACAACGAGUUGCGAGUCGGUGACGGCGAGCUAAUCUCUUAAAGCCAAUCUCAGUUCGGAUUGUAGGCUGCAACUCGCCUACAUGAAGUCGGAAUCGCUAGUAAUCGCGGAUCAGCACGCCGCGGUGAAUACGUUCCCGGGCCUU
This 387-nucleotide ribosomal RNA is filed under the name uncultured Streptococcus sp. RNAcentral's name for it is "bacterial SSU rRNA". It matches the Rfam family "Bacterial small subunit ribosomal RNA", at positions 993 to 1382 of the family's 1533-position model. The record is from RNAcentral. Lineage: Bacteria; Bacillati; Bacillota; Bacilli; Lactobacillales; Streptococcaceae.